This 262-nucleotide ribosomal RNA is filed under the name uncultured bacterium. Its description in RNAcentral is "partial 16S ribosomal RNA". It matches the Rfam family "Bacterial small subunit ribosomal RNA", at positions 793 to 1055 of the family's 1533-position model. The record is from RNAcentral.
GUCCACGCCGUAACGAUGAAUGCUAGCCGUUGGCGAGCUUGCUCGUCAGUGGCGCAGCUAACGCUUUAAGCAUUCCGCCUGGGAGUACGGUCGCAAGAUUAAACUCAAAGGAAUUGACGGGGCCCGCACAAGCGGUGGAGCAUGUGGUUUAAUUCGAAGCAACGCGCAGAACCUUACCAACCUUUGACAUGUCCGGUUUGGAUGCCAGAGAUGGCUUCCUUCAGUUCGGCUGGCCGGAACACAGGUGCUGCAUGGCUGUCGU